Molecule: ribosomal RNA, 274 nt
Filed under: uncultured bacterium
Lineage: Bacteria
Description: partial 16S ribosomal RNA
Rfam family: Bacterial small subunit ribosomal RNA
Source: RNAcentral
CCCGCCGGCGACCGGCACACGGGUGAGUAACACGUAUGCAACCUGGCCGUGACAGAUGGAUAACCGGGAGAAAUCCCGCCUAAUACAACAUAAUGCCGGGAGGGGACAUCCCCUGCCGGUCAAAGGGGGCGACCCCGGUCAUGGAUGGGCAUGCGGCGCAUUAGGUAGUUGGUGGGGCAACGGCCCACCAAGCCGACGAUGCGUAGGGGUUCUGAGAGGAAGGUCCCCCACAUUGGAACUGAGACACGGUCCAAACUCCUACGGAAGGCAGCAG